AGUGAGCGCUGGCGGUAGGCCUAACACAUGCAAGUCGAACGGCAGCACAGUAAGAGCUUGCUCUUACGGGUGGCGAGUGGCGGACGGGUGAGGAAUACAUCGGAAUCUACUUUUUCGUGGGGGAUAACGUAGGGAAACUUACGCUAAUACCGCAUACGACCUACGGGUGAAAGCAGGGGAUCUUCGGACCUUGCGCGAUUGAAUGAGCCGAUGUCGGAUUAGCUAGUUGGCGGGGUAAAGGCCCACCAAGGCGACGAUCCGUAGCUGGUCUGAGAGGAUGAUCAGCCACACUGGAACUGAGACACGGUCCAGACUCCUACGGGAGGCAGCAGUGGGGAAUAUUGGACAAUGGGCGCAAGCCUGAUCCAGCCAUACCGCGUGGGUGAAGAAGGCCUUCAGGUUGUAAAGCCCUUUUGUUGGGAAAGAAAAGCAGCAGGUUAAUACCCCGCUGUUCUGACGGUACCCAAAGAAUAAGCACCGGCUAACUUCGUG
This 492-nucleotide ribosomal RNA is filed under the name uncultured bacterium. Its description in RNAcentral is "partial 16S ribosomal RNA". It matches the Rfam family "Bacterial small subunit ribosomal RNA", at positions 29 to 507 of the family's 1533-position model. The record is from RNAcentral.